RNAcentral lists this ribosomal RNA (521 nucleotides) under Staphylococcus aureus. RNAcentral describes it as "bacterial SSU rRNA". It matches the Rfam family "Bacterial small subunit ribosomal RNA", at positions 1013 to 1533 of the family's 1533-position model. Lineage: Bacteria; Bacillati; Bacillota; Bacilli; Caryophanales; Staphylococcaceae. The record is from RNAcentral.
UUCCCCUUCGGGGGACAAAGUGACAGGUGGUGCAUGGUUGUCGUCAGCUCGUGUCGUGAGAUGUUGGGUUAAGUCCCGCAACGAGCGCAACCCUUAAGCUUAGUUGCCAUCAUUAAGUUGGGCACUCUAAGUUGACUGCCGGUGACAAACCGGAGGAAGGUGGGGAUGACGUCAAAUCAUCAUGCCCCUUAUGAUUUGGGCUACACACGUGCUACAAUGGACAAUACAAAGGGCAGCGAAACCGUGAGGUCAAGCAAAUCCCAUAAAGUUGUUCUCAGUUCGGAUUGUAGUCUGCAACUCGACUACAUGAAGCUGGAAUCGCUAGUAAUCGUAGAUCAGCAUGCUACGGUGAAUACGUUCCCGGGUCUUGUACACACCGCCCGUCACACCACGAGAGUUUGUAACACCCGAAGCCGGUGGAGCAACCUUUUAGGAGCUAGCCGUCGAAGGUGGGACAAAUGAUUGGGGUGAAGUCGUAACAAGGUAGCCGUAUCGGAAGGUGCGGCUGGAUCACCUCCUUU